This 493-nucleotide ribosomal RNA is filed under the name uncultured bacterium. RNAcentral describes it as "bacterial SSU rRNA". It matches the Rfam family "Bacterial small subunit ribosomal RNA", at positions 28 to 512 of the family's 1533-position model. The record is from RNAcentral.
GAUGAACGCUAGCUACAGGCUUAACACAUGCAAGUCGAGGGGCAGCAUGAACUUAGCUUGCUAAGUUUGAUGGCGACCGGCGCACGGGUGAGUAACACGUAUCCAACCUGCCGAUGACUCGGGGAUAGCCUUUCGAAAGAAAGAUUAAUACCCGAUGGCAUAGUUCUUCCGCAUGGUAGAACUAUUAAAGAACUUCGGUCAUCGAUGGGGAUGCGUUCCAUUAGGUUGUUGGCGGGGUAACGGCCCACCAAGCCUUCGAUGGAUAGGGGUUCUGAGAGGAAGGUCCCCCACAUUGGAACUGAGACACGGUCCAAACUCCUACGGGAGGCAGCAGUGAGGAAUAUUGGUCAAUGGGCGUAAGCCUGAACCAGCCAAGUCGCGUGAGGGAUGAAGGUUCUAUGGAUCGUAAACCUCUUUAUAAGGGAAUAAAGUGUAGGACGUGUCCUAUUUUGUAUGUACCUUAUGAAUAAGGAUCGGCUAACUCCGUGCCAGC